UGGGGAGUACGGUCGCAAGAUUAAAACUCAAAUGAAUUGACGGGGGGCCGCACAAGCGGUGGAGCAUGUGGNUUAAUUCGAUGCAACGCGAAGAACCUUACCUACUCUUGACAUCCAGAGAACUCGCUAGAGAUAGCUUGNNGCCUUCGGGAACUCUGAGACAGGUGCUGCAUGGCUGUCGUCAGCUCGUGUUGUGAAAUGUUGGGUUAAGUCCCGCAACGAGCGCAACCCUUAUCCUUGUUUGCCAGCACGUAAUGGUGGGAACUCCAGGGAGACUGCCGGUGAUAAACCGGAGGAAGGUGGGGACGACGUCAAGUCAUCAUGGCCCUUACGAGUAGGGCUACACACGUGCUACAAUGGCGCAUACAGAGGGCAGCCAACCAGCGAUGGUGAGCGAAUCCCAAAAAGUGCGUCGUAGUCCGGAUUGGAGUCUGCAACUCGACUCCAUGAAGUCGGAAUCGCUAGUAAUCGUGAAUCAGAAUGUCACGGUGAAUACGUUCCCGGGCCUUGUACACACCGCCCGUCACACCAUGGGAGUGGGCUGCAAAAGAAGUGGGUAGUUAAC
Molecule: ribosomal RNA, 565 nt
Filed under: Vibrio sp. MR11-43
Lineage: Bacteria; Pseudomonadati; Pseudomonadota; Gammaproteobacteria; Vibrionales; Vibrionaceae
Description: bacterial SSU rRNA
Rfam family: Bacterial small subunit ribosomal RNA
Source: RNAcentral